UUGUAAGCUCCGAGGAGGAAAACCUAAAUAUAUUUUGUGGUUUUGAAAUGGAAUUUGCGCCGGAGCGAAUGACUCCCAGCCGGGGGGGAGAGACGCCAUGGCGUUGUUUACAUAACGAAGACGCGUCGGGGGUCCCAGUAGCAGGUGACCUUCCUGGAAAUUACCGAGACUUAGUGUGUUUUGAAAAAGUCCUCUGGAGAGUGGGUCCAGGACUUACACCUGCAAACUUCCUGUUUCUUGGGUUGAGAUGAGUAACGACUAAACCCUUGAGAAAUUAACAACUGGAUCAUGGAGACACUGCUGUUACAGCAAGCACAGAGCAGAGCCGUCCAGGGUAGCAGCAAGCACAGAGCCGAGCCGUCCAGGGUAGCAGCCAGCAAGCAAGUACAGGGAAGUCCAAGGCAGUAGCCAGUAAGCACAGUCUAGGGCAGCACUGCACUCCAGUGUUCAGAACAACAUUACUGUACAAAAUAAAAUGUAAAAUUAA
This 487-nucleotide long non-coding RNA is filed under the name Homarus americanus (American lobster). RNAcentral's name for it is "uncharacterized LOC121872945, transcript variant X1". The record is from RNAcentral. Lineage: Eukaryota; Metazoa; Arthropoda; Malacostraca; Decapoda; Nephropidae.